AGCGAACGUUAGCGGCGCGCCUAACACAUGCAAGUCGCACGAGAAAGGGAGCAAUCCCCGGUACAGUGGCGCACGGGUGAGUAACACGUAGAUGACCUUCCCUGGAGUGGUGGAUAACCUGCCGAAAGGCGGGCUAAUACAGCAUGGGACCACAUGGUUUUUGACCGAGUGGUGAAAGCGGGCCUCUGUUCACAAGCUCGCGCUCUGGGAUGGGUCUGCGUCCCAUCAGCUAGUUGGUGAGGUAAUGGCUCACCAAGGCAUCGACGGGUAGCUGGUCUGAGAGGAUGACCAGCCACACUGGAACUGAGACACGGUCCAGACUCCUACGGGAGGCAGCAGUGGGGAAUCUUGCGCAAUGGGCGAAAGCCUGACGCAGCGACGCCGCGUGGGUGAUGAAGGCCUCGGUUGUAAGUACGUCUGUGGUAGGAGGGACGGAAAACCCGUACGGUUUA
This 452-nucleotide ribosomal RNA is filed under the name uncultured bacterium. RNAcentral describes it as "bacterial SSU rRNA". It matches the Rfam family "Bacterial small subunit ribosomal RNA", at positions 29 to 472 of the family's 1533-position model. The record is from RNAcentral.